CCUACGGGAGGCAGCAGUGGGGAAUAUUGCGCAAUGAGCGAAAGCCUGACGCAGCGACGCAGCGUGCGGGAUGAAGGUCUUCGGAUCGUAAACCUCUGUCAGCAGGGAAGAACGGUCACUGUGCUAAACAGCAGUGAAUUGACGGUACCUGCAAAGGAAGCACCGGCUAACUACGUGCCAGCAGCCGCGGUAAUACGGAGGGUGCGAGCGUUAAUCGGAAUUAAUGGGCGUAAAGCGCUCGUAGGCGGUAUGUCAAGUCAAGGGUGAAAUCCCCGCGCUCAACGUGGGAACUGCUUUUGAAACUGGCAAACUGGAGUGUGUUAGAGGAUAGUGGAAUUCCAGGUGUAGGAGUGAAAUGCGUAGAUAUCUGGAGGAACAUCAGUGGCGAAGGCGACUAUCUGGCACAUAACUGACGCUGAGGAGCGAAAGCGUGGGUAGCAAACAGGAUUAGAUACCCGAGUAGUC
Molecule: ribosomal RNA, 465 nt
Filed under: uncultured bacterium
Lineage: Bacteria
Description: partial 16S ribosomal RNA
Rfam family: Bacterial small subunit ribosomal RNA
Source: RNAcentral